AUUGAACGCUGGCGGCAUGCCUUACACAUGCAAGUCGAACGGUAACAGGUCUUCGGAUGCUGACGAGUGGCGAACGGGUGAGUAAUACAUCGGAACGUGCCUAGUAGUGGGGGAUAACUACUCGAAAGAGUGGCUAAUACCGCAUGAGAUCUACGGAUGAAAGCAGGGGAUCGCAAGACCUUGUGCUACUAGAGCGGCCGAUGGCAGAUUAGGUAGUUGGUGGGAUAAAAGCUUACCAAGCCGACGAUCUGUAGCUGGUCUGAGAGGACGAUCAGCCACACUGGGACUGAGACACGGCCCAGACUCCUACGGGAGGCAGCAAUGGGGAAUUUUGGACAAUGGGCGCAAGCCUGAUCCAGCAAUGCCGCGUGCAGGAUGAAGGCCUUCGGGUCGUAAACUGCUUUUGUACGGAACGAAAAGCCCUGGGUUAAUACCCUGGGGUCAUGACGGUACCGUAAGAAUAAGCACCGGCUAACUACGUGCCAGCCGCCGCGGUAA
This 498-nucleotide ribosomal RNA is filed under the name uncultured bacterium. RNAcentral's name for it is "partial 16S ribosomal RNA". It matches the Rfam family "Bacterial small subunit ribosomal RNA", at positions 30 to 523 of the family's 1533-position model. The record is from RNAcentral.